This is a long non-coding RNA of Drosophila subobscura, 1345 nucleotides long. RefSeq lists it as uncharacterized. The transcript has 3 exons. The record is from RefSeq and is a predicted model, not a curated record. NCBI's taxonomy places the organism in Eukaryota, Metazoa, Arthropoda, Insecta, Diptera, Drosophilidae.
GGAAAUAUUCUGACGAUGAAUCAUAGACAGUUCUAUUUAUCCACAGAUUACCAUUAACCAUUAACGAAAGAACUUUUAGUUUCUUUCGAGUUCUGGUUGCAAUAAAUAUAUACCUUUGGUCACUCCAAAGCUUUCUAUGUUUAUUUUUGCGAUGCCUCUGCUUUUCGCUUGGGCCUUUGGUCUCACUAAAAUCUGGCUCUUUGUUCAAUCAUUGGACUCGACUCGCUUACAAUACUGUUUUGGUUCUUAUAUUUUUAUUUUUAUUUUAGUCUGUGGGCUGUUCUUUGCCCAUGGCCAAGAACUACACACAGAUAGCCACAGUACAGCCACAAUGGCAAAAAAGAAGAAGAUAAAAUCGAAGAAAUAACCGAAUGAACGAACGGAGGGAUACAAAGAAUUAUAUAACUAUAGCAAAGUACAAGCUACUAAGAUCCGAACACACACACAGAGCAAAAUAUCCAACAGUCUUGGCCAACAGCAAAAGUACAAGUUGCCAAAGAAGAAGCGAAAAGAGCGUAGAGCAUAGACAAAGAUCAUCAUCAUCAUCAUUAUCAUAGGAGGAACCCCAGGUUCAGUUUCGAAUGGAAAGGAAAGGAAUGGGAUAGUAAAGGAAAGGAACGGAAUGGAACGGAACGGUACGGGGAAGUGGGGGAUACUGAUGGGUGGUGUGGUGUGGUGUGUGUUCGUCUGCCAUUUGGCCUAAGCAAAGUCAAGGCAACAGGCCAUAAAACUUGUAGAACCAGUAAAAAAAAAGAAAAGAGAAAAGAAAACCAAAGACGAAGCAGAAAAGAAGAACACGACCAAGAGCCAAGAACCAAGAACGCCAAGAGAAGCUGAAUGUUGAAGGGCCUUGGAGGAUGAAAUACACAGCCUGGGCACAAGGGGGAACGACAACUGAGAGCAGAGAGCAGAGAACCGAGAACAGAACAGAAAACAGAGAGAACCGCAACCAAGAAGCAUGUACAGUGAAAGCUCUUUGGGGGUCCAACACCCCCGCUGAUGAUGGAACUAUGAAUGUGUUUUCCCCCGAGGACAGAGGCCUCCUGCUCCUGCUUCUGCCCCUGACUCUACCACCGUGAACUAACCCAGCUGUCUGCUAUGUUUAUUUCUGGGCAAACUUCCUGUCGAUCCAUCGAUCCCAUUUCUCUGUCUCAGUGGCCGCAAGUAAAAGUCAAUAAAUAACUGAAAGGCAAAAAGGAAAUUCAUUGAUGAGCCAUCAUCGAUAAAGAUACUAAAACUAAAAAGAAAGAAAAGGCCAACAAAAACCAGGAGCACAUUCAUUGUUCCAUGCAAAUUCUGCAGCUGUUAGAACAAAGCCAGCGCGGAUCGCACAGAGAGGAUCGCA